CCUUUGUCUUAUGAUCCUGUGUUGGGUUGAACCUGAGUUGAUGGACAGUUUUUUAGACUAAUGACGCUUCUCACAAUUUACGUAUUUAAACCACACAGAAGGGCGGGAACGGCCUUUGGUCCAAGCUCACCUGCCAGAAGGUGGGGGGGUCUCCGAGCCUCCGGGCCCUGCCGGGCCGGGGCCCCUGUCCCCCCUUUCCCAACACUGCGGCACAGACCCUGGGCCACUGGGGAGGAACCGCAGGCCGCUGGGUCCCAGAGCCGCAGGCAGCUAAA
This is a long non-coding RNA of Corvus hawaiiensis (hawaiian crow), 275 nucleotides long. RefSeq lists it as uncharacterized. The record is from RefSeq and is a predicted model, not a curated record. Lineage: Eukaryota; Metazoa; Chordata; Aves; Passeriformes; Corvidae. The transcript is spliced from 3 exons.